GGAGAAGUACUCAAGUUGGUGAAGAGGCGCCCCUGCUAAGGGUGUAGGUCGGGAAACCGGCGCAGGAGUUCAAAUCUCCUCUUCUCCGCCA
Molecule: transfer RNA, 91 nt
Filed under: Clostridia bacterium
Lineage: Bacteria; Bacillati; Bacillota; Clostridia
Also listed under: 2 other names
Description: tRNA-Ser
Rfam family: tRNA
About the family: Transfer RNA (tRNA) molecules are approximately 80 nucleotides in length.
Source: RNAcentral